CCUACAGGCAGCAGUGGGGAAUUUUGCACAAUGGGCGAAAGCCUGAUGCAGCAACGCCGCGUGAGUGAUGAAGGCCUUCGGGUUGUAAAGCUCUGUCGCCUGGGACAAAAGGCUUCCUAACUAAUAAGUAGGAAGAGUGAUGGUACCAGGAGAGGAAGAGGCGGCUAACUCUGUGCCAGCAGCCGCGGUAAUACAGAGGCCUCAAGCGUUGUUCGGAAUUACUGGGCGUAAAGGGAAUGUAGGCGGUGAUGUAAGUCAGAUGUGAAAGCCCUGGGCUUAACCCGGGAAUUGCAUUUGAUACUACGUUGCUAGAGUGCAGGAGAGGUUAGAGGAAUUCCUGGUGUAGGGGUGAAAUCCGUAGAUAUCAGGAGGAAUACCGAUGGCGAAGGCAUCUAACUGGCCUAACACUGACGCUGAGAUUCGAAAGCAUGGGUAGCAAACAGGAUUAGAUACCCUGGUAGUCC
RNAcentral lists this ribosomal RNA (464 nucleotides) under uncultured bacterium. Its description in RNAcentral is "bacterial SSU rRNA". It matches the Rfam family "Bacterial small subunit ribosomal RNA", at positions 338 to 796 of the family's 1533-position model. The record is from RNAcentral.